This 491-nucleotide ribosomal RNA is filed under the name uncultured bacterium. Its description in RNAcentral is "partial 16S ribosomal RNA". It matches the Rfam family "Bacterial small subunit ribosomal RNA", at positions 29 to 507 of the family's 1533-position model. The record is from RNAcentral.
GUGAACGCUGGCGGUAGGCCUAACACCUGCAAGUCGAACGGCAGCACAGUAAGAGCUUGCUCUUACGGGUGGCGAGUGGCGGACGGGUGAGGAAUACAUCGGAAUCUACUUUUUCGUGGGGGAUAACGUAGGGAAACUUACGCUAAUACCGCAUACGACCUACGGGUGAAAGCAGGGGAUCUUCGGACCUUGCGCGAUUGAAUGAGCCGAUGUCGGAUUAGCUAGUUGGCGGGGUAAAGGCCCACCAAGGCGACGAUCCGUAGCUGGUCUGAGAGGAUGAUCAGCCACACUGUAACUGAGACACGGUCCAGACUCCUACGGGAGGCAGCAGUGGGGAAUAUUGGACAAUGGGCGCAAGCCUGAUCCAGCCAUACCGCGUGGGUGAAGAAGGCCUUCGGGUUGUAAAGCCCUUUUGUUGGGAAAGAAAAGCAGCAGGUUAAUACCCCGCUGUUCUGACGGUACCCAAAGAAUAAGCACCGGCUAACUUCGUG